AACGUACUCCAUGAUAUGCUUGUCCAUGGACGAUGACGACAAAGCUGACAAGACCAAGAAGAUCUCAAAAAAGCCCUCCUUCUUGAGUUGGAGCACCAGUAAAAACAGACAGAAGUCGGCCAGCACGCUGUGCCUCCCCAAUGUUGGCCUGGCAAGGCCGCAAAACAAGAAGAAGCUCCCAACUCCCUUCAGCCUGCUCAAUUCCGACAGCUCUCUGUACUGAAGGGAGGAGCCGGACGGAACAGGUCACUCUGCGCCCACCAUGGCUCUCCAACCACCCAUGCCGUGAUGGGAAUGUUUUCCAACUCCAUCUUCUCAGAGUGUAAACUUUGUCUGAUGUGCUUGUUGUGAACGUGAAAGAGAGCUCUAGAAACUGGUGGGAGACCCAGCCGCACGGGGAUCUUCACACUGCUACGGUUAUUUAUUCUCUAAAGUAGGGCAUAGAAGAGCCUGGAUGUCUUAGCUGGUUUGUGGUUUUCCCAGUUUUCUCUGUGUAGCCCUGCCCGUCCGAGAAGUUGCCCUGUAGACUAGGCUAGCCUCGAACUCCCAGAUCCACCUGCCUCUGCCACCCGAGUGCUGGGAUUAAAGGUGUGUGCCACCACCACCCAGCAGCUGCUACAGCUGUUUUUAAUGGCUAUGAUUUUGAUAUUCAGGCAUGGUGAGAGAUGAAUUGGGACCACCUACUUGGUAUUACAUCUGAGUGUUUAGAGUUGGAUAAUAGUGAUCUCUCUUAACCUCAAGUUCAAGUGACUCUUGAAUGGAGGCAGGUUAGAGAUGUUAUUAAAACCAGACUGCUUGGAAGAUUUCUGUGAGUUUGAGGCUAGCCUGGUCUACAUAGUGAGUUCCAGGACAGCCGGGCCUACACAGAGACUCUGUCUCAAACAAACAAAACCAAAACUGGCUGCUUUAAGUACUUGGGAAUUCAUGAGAUGAAAAUGGUGACAUUUUCUGUCAUUCCUGCAUAAUCUGACUGCUCUUUCCCAGUUAAAGUCUAGUGCCAAUUUUGCCUUUCCUUACUCUGGGACCAGCUUCCCUCAGUUUAUCAUACUGACCAUUAGCUAACACAGUGGCAGUGUUAGGAGAUGCUGUCUACAGGGUAGAUAAUAUGCUGUUUGAUACUCAAAACGUUGCUCCCUUUGUUUAAAGUAGGAAGUAUGUAACUAUGUAUUUUAAGAGUCUUGGUUUAGGGGCUGGGGAUUUAGCUCAGUGGUAGAGCGCUUACCUAGGAAGCGCAAGGCCCUGGGUUCGGUCCCCAGCUCCGAAAAAAAGAACC
RNAcentral lists this long non-coding RNA (1273 nucleotides) under Rattus norvegicus (Norway rat). RNAcentral describes it as "long non-coding RNA NONRATT000606". Lineage: Eukaryota; Metazoa; Chordata; Mammalia; Rodentia; Muridae. The record is from RNAcentral.